RNAcentral lists this long non-coding RNA (596 nucleotides) under Marmota monax (woodchuck). Lineage: Eukaryota; Metazoa; Chordata; Mammalia; Rodentia; Sciuridae. The record is from RNAcentral.
GCUGUCCGGGCCUUGCCUGCGUGAAGGGCUGCAGGUGUAGUUUUCCCAGGACGCCGUGUUGCUGUGGAUCUAGCCUCAGAAAUCAGGCCUUGGGGUUGGAUUGAGACCUUCGUGAGCGCGAUUAUAGUGUCGGCGUAGUUCACCGAGUCAAAAUAUUGAUGUUACCUCGUCUAGGCAAAUCUUAGAGGGUUAGUCACUAUUGUGUGAAUUAACCCUAGUGGACGCCAUUUUUCUUGCCUUAGGUUGGGUGCUUCCUGGAGCUUCUCAGCGCAAGGUACCAAGUACAAGUUAGUUUCGUUAAGUGUCUUAUUUGGCCACGUAGCCUCCAAAAAAUAAUCCCACAUUUGGAAGCGACAACUAAGUAGGGAUGCUUUCUACAUAGAUUUUUAAAAGUGAUUUUGGAGCUAUCUGUAUUUCAGUAAUAUUUACAAAAAAAUUGAGCUGGCGCAUUAAUGCUGUUACAGAGCUGGGGCAUUCCAAGAAACUGAGGCAGCCAGAAGACCUACACUUCAAACUCCGACUGUUGCGAUCAAGUCAAAGAUUUCAGACAUGUUUUCAGAAUAACAGGCAUGAGUUUAUUGAAGGGAUAGAUAAAC